GACAGAGGGCCCAAGCGUGAGGCAGAAUCACUGGGCUUAAAGCGUGUGUAGGCGGACUUCUAAGUACCUUGUGAAAUCCCACGGCUCAACCGUGGAACUGCUUGGUAUACUGGUUGUCUUGGGCCAUCUAGGGGCUAGCGGAACAAACGGUGGAGCGGUGAAAUGCGUAGAUAUCGUUUGGAACGCCAAUGGUGAAAACAGCUAGCUGGGGAUGUGCCGACGCUGAGACACGAAAGCCAGGGGAGCGAACGGG
This 253-nucleotide ribosomal RNA is filed under the name uncultured bacterium. Its description in RNAcentral is "partial 16S ribosomal RNA". It matches the Rfam family "Bacterial small subunit ribosomal RNA", at positions 524 to 776 of the family's 1533-position model. The record is from RNAcentral.